CGCGAAUGGCUCAUUACAACAGCCAUAGUUUAUUGGAUCUUAGAGUCCUACUUGGAUACCUGUGGUAAUUCUAGAGCUAAUACACGCAAUCAAGCCCCAACCUUACGGGAGGGGCGCAUUUAUUAGAACAAAACCAAUUGGCUUCGGCCAUAAAUUGGUGAAUCUGAAUAACUACGCAGAUCGCACGGUCUCGCACCGGCGACAUAUCCUUCAAGUGUCUGCCUUAUCAACUUUCGAUGGUAGUUUACAUGACUACCAUGGUUGUAACGGGUAACGGAGAAUAAGGGUUCGACUCCGGAGAGGGAGCCUGAGAAACGGCUACCACAUCCAAGGAAGGCAGCAGGC
RNAcentral lists this ribosomal RNA (345 nucleotides) under Nematoda environmental sample. Its description in RNAcentral is "SSU rRNA". It matches the Rfam family "Eukaryotic small subunit ribosomal RNA", at positions 88 to 433 of the family's 1831-position model. Lineage: Eukaryota; Metazoa; Nematoda. The record is from RNAcentral.